GAGGGUAUAGCUCAGUGGUAGAAUGUGUGCUUAGCAUGCAUGAAGUCCUGGGUACAAUCCCCAGUACCUCCA
This 72-nucleotide transfer RNA is filed under the name Camelus ferus (Wild Bactrian camel). It matches the Rfam family "tRNA". From Rfam's summary of the family: Transfer RNA (tRNA) molecules are approximately 80 nucleotides in length. Their secondary structure includes four short double-helical elements and three loops (D, anti-codon, and T loops). The record is from Rfam by way of RNAcentral. Lineage: Eukaryota; Metazoa; Chordata; Mammalia; Artiodactyla; Camelidae.